This 497-nucleotide ribosomal RNA is filed under the name uncultured bacterium. RNAcentral's name for it is "partial 16S ribosomal RNA". It matches the Rfam family "Bacterial small subunit ribosomal RNA", at positions 28 to 507 of the family's 1533-position model. The record is from RNAcentral.
GAUGAACGCUGGCGGCGUGCCUAAUACAUGCAAGUCGAGCGAACGGACGAGAAGCUUGCUUCUCUGAUGUUAGCGGCGGACGGGUGAGUAACACGUGGAUAACCUACCUAUAAGACUGGGAUAACGUCGGGAAACCGGAGCUAAUACCGGAUAAUAUUUUGAACCGCAUGGUUCAAAAGUGAAAGACGGUCUUGCUGUCACUUAUAGAUGGAUCCGCGCUGCAUUAGCUAGUUGGUAAGGUAACGGCUUACCAAGGCAACGAUGCAUAGCCGACCUGAGAGGGUGCUCGGCCACACUGGAACUGAGACACGGUCCAGACUCCUACGGGAGGCCGCCGUAUGGAAUCUUCCGCAAUGGGCGAAAGCCUGACGGAGCAACGCCGCGUGAGUGAUGACGGUCUUCGGAUCGUAAAACUCUGUUAUUAGGGAAGAACAUAUGUGUAAGUAACUGUGCACAUCUUGACGGUACCUAGUCAGAAAGCCACGGCUAACUACGUG